Molecule: unclassified non-coding RNA, 160 nt
Filed under: uncultured Stromatonectria
Lineage: Eukaryota; Fungi; Ascomycota; Sordariomycetes; Hypocreales; Bionectriaceae
Description: sequence contains ITS1
Source: RNAcentral
CCGAGUUUACAACUCCCAAACCCAUGUGAACCUUACCAUCGUUGCUUCGGCGGGUCUCGCCCCGGGCGCCAUCGCGUGCCCCGGACCCAGGCGCCCGCCGGAGGACCCAAACUCUUGUUUUACCAGUGGUAUCUUCUGAGUUUUAAAAACAAAUAAAUUA